CAUCACUAAGGCACCGGAAUUCUACACGUCUAUGUAUGCUGCCCCUUCCUACUACACCGAGGCGCCGCAUUACUAUAACACUGAAGCGCUUAAGUACUACACUACUACCUACGCUGCCCCGAGCUACUACACCUACGUCCCGAAGUAUUGCUGUGCGUAAAAGGAGUCGUAAAAAAAAAAGAAGUCGUGCCCGAACUACAGUGCCCUAUAUGUCACCAACUGCAUUCCUCAUCUUGUAACCGAUUCGUUAUUAUGGACAUCUAUGGCGUCGUGCUCCUAUUGUGUCUAUUGUUCGUUGAUUGGUGGGUCGACCGCUGGUGUAGCGAUGCCUCCUUGGUAAGGCGGAAACCAAACCGCAACGCCGGUUUCUUCCUACACAACUUACGCAACGACCAGUUCCUGCACCGAGGUCUUCAAGUACUACACCCCUAAGGCACCGGAGUUUUAUACCACAACUUACGCUGCCCCGAGCCACUACACUGAAGCCCUGAAGUAUGAUUCUACCCUGAGUUACUACACCAUCUAGGCGAUGGAGUGCUACAUGAUUACGUAUGCUGCCCAUCCUACUACACCGAGGCUCCCAAGUGCUACACCGAGGCUCCCGCUGAUUACUCCACCGAAGCGGCAAAGUACUUCUCUGCCCUGAUCUACACAACCACAACUGAGGCGGCCAAGUAUUACGCAGUCCCGAGUUGCUACCCAAAAGCUGCCCUUUCGUGCUACGUUGAGCAAAAAUACUACACUGAUGCUCCUGUCUACUACACCACGACCUACGCUACACCUAGCUACAACACGGCAGCCCCCAAGUACUACACCGAAGAAGCCGCCUAUUACACAACUACGUACGCUGCCUAGUUUACUACUUCGAGGAAUUUAAGUAUUACCCUGCUCCAAACUACUACCAAACUGAGGUUCAUAUUUAUUGCAAUUCUCCCGAUUAUGUCACCACUACUCACGCUGUAUUUCUCUGUAUGUGUUGAAAGAUUGCUGGAAUGCAA
Long non-coding RNA from Daphnia pulicaria, 998 nucleotides. RefSeq lists it as uncharacterized. The transcript is spliced from 3 exons. Lineage: Eukaryota; Metazoa; Arthropoda; Branchiopoda; Diplostraca; Daphniidae. The record is from RefSeq and is a predicted model, not a curated record.